AGAUGGAGAUAAUUACCUUAUCAAAUCCUGCGUGAAACCUACGCAGAAGGAUAGGACUUACCUAAAUAAAACAGCUUAUGAUGUUUGGGUGGUUAUGUGUAAAAGUGGAAGCGUAAAUUGUGCUUACUGCACAUGCAUUGGAGGAGCUGAUGGAGGAUGUCGCCACAUCGGAGCAACCCUGUAUGAAAUUGAGGCUUUUGAUGUCAAGUCAGUGACAGAUGGAGAUAACUUGUGGGUAAAACGACCACGACAUCAUGAUUGCCCAGUGCCUAUAAAGCAACUUAAAAUCUUGAAAGCUAGGUAUGCAAGUGUGG
Saccostrea cuccullata (small rock oyster) is the source of this 314-nucleotide long non-coding RNA. RefSeq lists it as uncharacterized. The record is from RefSeq and is a predicted model, not a curated record. The transcript is spliced from 3 exons. NCBI's taxonomy places the organism in Eukaryota, Metazoa, Mollusca, Bivalvia, Ostreida, Ostreidae.